RNAcentral lists this ribosomal RNA (490 nucleotides) under uncultured bacterium. RNAcentral describes it as "partial 16S ribosomal RNA". It matches the Rfam family "Bacterial small subunit ribosomal RNA", at positions 30 to 507 of the family's 1533-position model. The record is from RNAcentral.
UGACCGCUGGCGGUAGGCCUAACACAUGCACGUCGCACGGCAGCACAGUAAGAGCUUGCUCUUACGGGUGGCGAGUGGCGGACGGGUGAGGAAUACAUCGGAAUCUACUUUUUCGUGGGGGAUAACGUAGGGAAACUUACGCUAAUACCGCAUACGACCUACGGGUGAAAGCAGGGGAUCUUCGGACCUUGCGCGAUUGAAUGAGCCGAUGUCGGAUUAGCUAGUUGGCGGGGUAAAGGCCCACCAAGGCGACGAUCCGUAGCUGGUCUGAGAGGAUGAUCAGCCACACUGGAACUGAGACACGGUCCAGACUCCUACGGGAGGCAGCAGUGGGGAAUAUUGGACAAUGGGCGCAAGCCUGAUCCAGCCAUACCGCGUGGGUGAAGAAGGCCUUCGGGUUGUAAAGCCCUUUUGUUGGGAAAGAAAAGCAGCAGGUUAAUACCCCGCUGUUCUGACGGUACCCAAAGAAUAAGCACCGGCUAACUUCGUG